This 141-nucleotide small nuclear RNA is filed under the name Leptobrachium leishanense (Leishan spiny toad). RNAcentral describes it as "U4 spliceosomal RNA (ENSLLEG00000002015.1)". It matches the Rfam family "U4 spliceosomal RNA". Rfam says of the family: U4 small nuclear RNA (U4 snRNA) is a component of the major U2-dependent spliceosome. The structure of U4 snRNA from yeast and human has been reported. The record is from Rfam by way of RNAcentral. Lineage: Eukaryota; Metazoa; Chordata; Amphibia; Anura; Megophryidae.
AGCUUUGUGCAGUGGCAGUAUUGUAGCUAAUGAGGUUUAUCUGAGGUGCGAUUAUUGCUAGUUGAAAACUUUUCCCAAUACCCCGCUAUCACGGCUUGAAAUACAGCUGGUGAUGGCAAUUUUUGACAAUCUCCAGAGAGA